GGGGUUGUGGCUCAGCGGUAGAGCACUCGCCUCUAACAUGUGAGACCCUGGGUUCAAUCCUCAGCAUCACAU
This 72-nucleotide transfer RNA is filed under the name Ictidomys tridecemlineatus (thirteen-lined ground squirrel). RNAcentral describes it as "Spermophilus tridecemlineatus (thirteen-lined ground squirrel) tRNA". It matches the Rfam family "tRNA". Rfam says of the family: Transfer RNA (tRNA) molecules are approximately 80 nucleotides in length. Their secondary structure includes four short double-helical elements and three loops (D, anti-codon, and T loops). The record is from Rfam by way of RNAcentral. Lineage: Eukaryota; Metazoa; Chordata; Mammalia; Rodentia; Sciuridae.